RNAcentral lists this ribosomal RNA (433 nucleotides) under uncultured bacterium. RNAcentral's name for it is "partial 16S ribosomal RNA". It matches the Rfam family "Bacterial small subunit ribosomal RNA", at positions 29 to 507 of the family's 1533-position model. The record is from RNAcentral.
AGCGAACGCUGGCGGCAGGCCUAACACAUGCAAGUCGAACGAACUCUUCGGAGUUAGUGGCGGACGGGUGAGUAACACGUGGGAACGUGCCCUUAGGUUCGGCAUACCUCAGGGAAACUUGUGCUAAUACCGAAUGUGCCCUUCGGGGGAAAGAUUUAUCGCGUUUCGAGCGGCCCUCGUCUGAUUAGCUUGUUGGUGCGGUAAUGGCUCACCAAGGCGACGAUCAGUAGCUGGUCUGAGAGGAUGAUCAGCCACAUUGGGACUGAGACACGGCCCAAACUCCUACGGGAGGCAGGAGUGGGGAAUCUUGCGCAAUGGGCGAAAGCCUGACGCAGCCAUGCCGCGUGAAUGAUGAAGGUCGUAGGAUUGUAAAAUUCUUUCACCGGGGACGAUAAUGACGGUACCCGGAGAAGAAGCCCCGGCUAACUUCGUG